Molecule: ribosomal RNA, 513 nt
Filed under: uncultured bacterium
Lineage: Bacteria
Description: partial 16S ribosomal RNA
Rfam family: Bacterial small subunit ribosomal RNA
Source: RNAcentral
GAUGAAUGCUGGCGGCGUGCCUAAUACAUGCAAGUCGAGCGAACAGACGAGGAGCUUGCUCCUUUGACGUUAGCGGCGGACGGGUGAGUAACACGUGGGUAACCUACCUAUAAGACUGGGAUAACUUCGGGAAACCGGAGCUAAUACCGGAUAAUAUUUCGAACCGCAUGGUUCGAUAGUGAAAGAUGGCUCUGCUAUCCCUUAUAGAUGGACCUGCGCCGUAUUAGCUAGUUGGUAAGGUAACGGCUUACCAAGGCAACGAUACGUAGCCGACCUGAGAGGGUGAUCGGCCACACUGGAACUGAGACACGGUCCAGACUCCUACGGGAGGCAGCAGUAGGGAAUCUUCCGCAAUGGGCGAAAGCCUGACGGAGCAACGCCGCGUGAGUGAUGAAGGUCUUCGGAUCGUAAAACUCUGUUAUUAGGGAAGAACAAACGUGUAAGUAACUGUGCACGUCUUGACGGUACCUCACCAGAAAGCCACGGCUAACUACGUGCCAGCCGCCGCGGUAA